GACGAACGCUGGCGGCGUGCCUAAUACAUGCAAGUAGAACGCUGAAGGAGGAGCUUGCUUCUCUGGAUGAGUUGCGAACGGGUGAGUAACGCGUAGGUAACCUGCCUGGUAGCGGGGGAUAACUAUUGGAAACGAUAGCUAAUACCGCAUAAGAGUAGAUGUCACAUGACAUUUGCUUAAAAGGUGCAAUUGCAUCACUACCAGAUGGACCUGCGUUGUAUUAGCUAGUUGGUGAGGUAACGGCUCACCAAGGCAACGAUACAUAGCCGACCUGAGAGGGUGAUCGGCCACACUGGGACUGAGACACGGCCCAGACUCCUACGGGAGGCAGCAGUAGGGAAUCUUCGGCAAUGGACGGAAGUCUGACCGAGCAACGCCGCGUGAGUGAAGAAGGUUUUCGGAUCGUAAAGCUCUGUUGUAAGAGAAGAACGAGUGUGAGAGUGGAAAGUUCACACUGUGACGGUAUCUGACGAGAAAGGGACGGCUAACUACGUG
Molecule: ribosomal RNA, 495 nt
Filed under: uncultured bacterium
Lineage: Bacteria
Description: partial 16S ribosomal RNA
Rfam family: Bacterial small subunit ribosomal RNA
Source: RNAcentral